GAAUUAUGUUCUGCAGACACGUGUUUUGAACGACUCACACACUGAAGUAAAUCUUGGGACAGUCUUGAGAGAAGCAUAUGAGGAGUGGAAUAUAAGUGACAAAAAACCUGCACUGGUCACCGAUAAUGCCAGCAACACUGCGAUAGCCAGACAAUAGGCAAAUGUGUCACUGCACAUUAAAUGCUUUGCGCAUACAGUUAACUUGGCAACACAAAAAGGCCUGAAAUGUGCUGGUGCAAUCCGUCUUUUGGGAAGAGUGAGAAAUUUUGUAAUUUUUUCAACACAGCUUGGUUGGUACCGCUGUUUUAAAAGCGAAGCAGAGGUUGCUCGGAAUUCCAGAACACAAGCUUAAACAAGACGUGAUCACUCACUGGAACAGCUCCUUUGAUGGAGCUGGAGCGAUUUUUGGAGCAACAAGCUGCAGUGUGUAGUUCACUUCUGGACAAGAACUAAGGAAAGUCACAAAUGACAUGCAUACACUCGUACACUUGCAUACAAAUGACAUGACAAAACAACAUCGCUACAGCUGAAGAAAGGGUUAAGCUACUCGAACCAGUGAAAACAGCCACCACCAUAAUGUGCGAGGAAGAGCAGCCCACUGUAUCUGUCACUGCACCUCUUCAAGCUAAAUUGUUGGAGCAUUUCUGUGUCGCAGAUGAAGACUCCAAUUUGAUUACAGAGAUGAAGCAGACAAUGGCAAGGGAGCUUGAACAUCGAUAUCUGGAUGUGAGGCAAGUUCUAUAUAGAGCAUCUUCCUUGGAUACGAGAUUUAAAAAGCUGCCUUUUGUAAGUGAGGAGAAGAGAGAUGCAACUUUCCAGUGUCUCAUCCAUGAGGCUGCAGAGCUUAUGGACCAGAAAAAUGGCACAGGCUGAGAAUGCAACUGCUCACUCAUUUGUUGAUCAAACUUCUGUUGUUGAUCCUACUUGAUUCCAGUGUCCCAGGCUGAAACCACUGAAGAAGAAUAUGUUCCUACUUCCAAGAAGUAAAAAAUAUAUGAAGAUAUCUUCAGUGACACCUUCUGCACUGUGGACCAUAGCCAGAUGGCCAAGACCUCUAAAGAGCUGGCCCAUGCUGAAGUUGUUAAGACACUGCAUCUUUGAACCUGGGAGGUAAGGUGUUGGAGUGAUGAAAAAGUCAUCGAACUGAGUUUCCCCUCCUGGCAAACCUUGCCAAAACAUACCUUUCCAUUCCUGGUACUAGUGUACCAUCUGAGCAUGUGUUUAGCACUGUAGGUGAUAUCGUCCAUUCAGAACGCAGUGUCCUGUCUGCUGAGCAUGUUGAUCAGUUGAUUUUCUAAAGAAAAACCUCUCGAAAGAGACCACUAGAAGAUCUUGUUUGACGUUGUAAAAAGAUGUCAAAUUGUCACUGAUAACUUUAUUUUUGAAAUUUAUUUUUUUAUAUUUAUUUUCUUGUAUACAUUUUUUCAACAACUGGAGUACCUCAUUUUGUUGUGUAUGUCCUAAUGGGGAUACUAGAUUUGCACAUUUUAGAGAGCACAGAUGACUGAAAGACUUUCUUGACUGUUGUCAUUUGCUUAUCUCAUUGCACAAGCCAAUGAGCUGUCAUCAGACGAUUGAUCUCAUGUGACUUGAUUUUUUUUUUUCAUUAUUUAUUUUUCUAUAUUUUAUUAUUUAAAAAACUGAAGUGUAUUUUUUGUUGUGGAUGUCCCAGUUGGAAUUCUGGAUUUGCAAUGUUCAGAGAGUUCAAUUAAAUGUUCAUGUUAUAUUUUGGUUGCAUUUGUGAGUUUAUAAAAAUUUUACUGGUUGUGUAAAAGAGGCACGUAAUAUCAAUAUAUCGAUCGCAGGCCCCUGAAUUGAAUCAAAUAUUGUAUCGCUGGCUAAGAGAAUCGAUGUCAGAUCGUAUCGUGAUGAAACGUCCGAUUUACACCUAUCUUUUCUCUUGUUCUUUGCUAAUGAGGGAGUUAAGUUUAUGUUGUUUGUUUUGCUUUUCACAGGUUAGUUAGAUUUUACUCCCCAUUAGGCAGAGGUUUUAUGCUUGUUAUUUUUGCCUUUGCUCCCUCCUGAAGCCUUUUAAACUUCCAUUUUCUGUUUUGAUUAAAUACAUUUUUUGUUGACUAUGAAACUUGACUGACCAUUGAGAGCUGGGACAGAAAAAGGGAACUCCCACAUCUUGUUACUCCUCUCCAAUCCCUAGACUGGAGCGGAACAUAACAGUUCAAAUUCACUAACUAUCAUAAUCUUAUAUUCUAUUUAAUUUUUAUUUUUUAUUUUUUAUUUAGUUUAAUAUUUUCUGACUUGAGGCUCUUGUUUAAUCCAUUGUAGUUUUCAUUUUUGUAGUUCUGAAUGACUUUUAAUUAUUUUAAUUUUUUAUUUGCCUUCUCAAAUUCAUCUGGGUUUCUACAGUCAAAAGCACAGUUGCUUGUUUACUUGAAUUAACGUGGAUUUUGGGUGAAAUGCAUGUGGACAUCUCACCAAAUACUGGGUGUAUACAUUUUUUAUUUAUUUAUUUAUUUUCUUUUAACAAACAAGUUUGCAGAGAUUUUGCUGGGAGCAAUGCCUGCUGAAGCUCUGUGGGGUUAAAGUUUUUGAACCUGAGAGAAUGAAGAAGAAGAAAAACGAUGCUCUUGACAAUGAGAGGGGAAACUAGGGAGUGCUAAGGCCGCAUACUAUACUCGGGUAUGAAAAAGAAGCCGUGCAGAUGAGAGGAUAUCGCUGUAAUUUGACAUUUGCAGUGGGAGAUGAGGUUCAAUUUAGAGAGGGUUCUCGAGAAAUCACAAAUUACGCUGCCUCCUUUGAAUGAGCUCCUGUGCUCUUUUUCCAAUCCACUUCCAGUGGCUCAUUGCUUGCCUCCGGAAAGGCUGGCUUUGGUUUUUCCUCAGCUGGGUAAGUUUUUCAUGCAGUCCACACAGCUUUGCCGAUGCUAUCUAAUUCCAGUAUAGAGACAGCUAUUUUAUCCUCUGCACAGGGAGAAAAUGUGGCCACUGCAAAGACCCGCAUUCUCUUUACACUAUAUUUGCUUUUUUCAUUCGACAAAUAUAAUUGUGAAUUAUAAAUACUUGUGUUUUUCCAGCUGUCUGUUUCAUAGACUUAAAAAAAUAUAUAUAAAAAUAAAAAAAUAAAAAAUGAUAUAGCUUGUUUCACAAUGCUGGCAAGCCAUUUAAUUACUGUAAUUAGUGGCUAUGGCCACUAGAGAUCCUAGAGCAAGAUUUGAUCUCUCUGCCUUCUUUACCGCAGCUGCAAACAACCUAGUUACAAUAAGACCAUCUCAAAGGGAAAAUGGAGUGUUUAUCGGCGCAAACAAACUAAACAAAAAUUUUAGGACAAAACUGAAAGCACUGUCUGAUGCUUUUUUUUUUUAAGGCACUAAAGUAAUAUUGAAUGAAAAAGUUCUGUAAAGUGCUGUAAAGAGAAUGUUUUGAAUCAUGUAUGUCAUGCAUAAAUACUGAAGAUUGAAUAUUAUAGUUAAGAGUUAUUAAGAGUAGUUUUAAAGUGUUAAAGGAAUUUUGUCACUUACUCACCUUUAGGUUGUUCCAAUGUAUUAUUUUCUUGCUUUCAUUAAAAGGAAAAUGAGAUUGUCUUUUGCAUACUGUACAACAACAAAACUAUCAUAAGGCUCCAAAAAAAAAGUCUGAAUAUAGCACACUGAGUAUAAGUAGUAUUUUUUUUAUUAUUAUUUGUUUUUUAAUUUUGUUAUAAAUUUUUUAUUAAUUAGUGACACUAAAUUGACAUGCUAAAUUAACAACCAUACUUAGAACUAAACUAAAAAUGUUAAUAAACAGACACAUGGUUUUAAAUUGGAGGCAAAACCAUUGACAAAGAAAAUACUGCAAAUCUGUCAUGUUAUGUAGCCUACUCAAAAGAUGAAAAGUAUUACAAAAAACUAUAAAAUAAAUAAAUAAAAUAAAAUAAAAAAUAACUAGUGAGCCUACUUAGGCACAUGACUGAAUACAUAAAAUAACCACUUGUUGUAAAGAAAAUAAGCUGUCUUCUUUAAAUGAGCAUCAGGGCAUUUACGGUAUCUUUCUUAGCUUUUCUCCUGGAGAUUUGCUGACAGAAACUUGUCGUGUCCUUGCAACCAAGCUGUCUUAUUCACUGCACAAUAAAUAAAGAUGAUCACUUAUGGCAUUUAAUGUUAAACAUUAAGAGGCAUGUCAGUUAACCAAAAAAAUGUAAGCUCCAUCAUAAAAACAUCAUAAAAACAGAAUAAGCAAAACAGAAAUUCAGCAGAGCUCAACUGGCAUACGACCACAUGUUUUGAUGCAAGAUGCUGAUGACAGAGAAAUAUGUUGAGAACUAAAUAUCAUUUUUGGCUAGUGUCCAAAAGAACAUGAUUUCAUUAAUUUAGCCAUCAAUAAAGUGUUUUAAACUUUUGGUUCACUCUUGCUUCAGAUAAUUGAGUUCCACGCACCAGAUGUGCAAUCUGCUAGCACACUUGCUUAGCAUAGUUUGCUAGCAAGCUAGUUGCUCUCUUGUGUGCAAUGUUGUGUUAACUGAAAAGAAUCAGCACUUUUGGGGAGUUUUGAUAAAUGUUCUGUGAGGUGUGACAUCUAAAAUGUGAACAAAGUCUAAAGACCCUUAACAAAGCAUGCAAACCAACAAGUAAAGAACCAUGACUAGCAGGAGUAGUUUGAAUAUUUGCUUAAAGGUGAUGUACUUUACAGUAAAGUAAGACUUUAUGGGUUAAUUUGUCCAAAAGGUGGCUCUGUGGCGUUUUCAACAUUUUUUGUUUGAGCAUCCCGACCAGUAUGACAUAGCAAAUUAGCUCAAAGAAUGAUGGGAGUUUGUGGUGGGAGUACCUGCUUGGGCGUUCCAUUCAAGUCAUUCAAGCCUCAUGUGGGCUAUUCCUACUUUACUGUAUAUCUCUGAUCAUAAAGGCAUUCCAUUGCCAGAUGCUCGGAAGAUGUUGUGUAAGGAAACAAGAGAGCAAAGCUCCCUUUAGCUUAGCAGGUGUUUGACGGUCAUAUCUAGAAGGUGACCCUCAUGUCAACAUUUUCGCACAUGCGCGUUCCUGUUGAUGCUUUUGCCGCUCGCCUUCAGCUUAUUAAUGAUGGAAAGCAUUAAAUACUUUAAGUCUCUUAAAGUAUAAGUUGAUGAAUGGAUUUGUGUGUGUAGCACUGUACCAAGUUCUCUUCUUUUUGUUGUGUUGUUUGUACAACUUGUAAUGUUAAUCCUGUUCAGUUGCAUUAAUGUUAGAAUGUUAAAGUUGUAGCCUAUAGCUUAGUAAGGCUACUGUUAUGGUCUUUGUUGCUCUUCUUGUCUUUGUUACCUGUUUUAAAUGGCUUUAUUUUCUAGAUGAUGAUAAAAACUAUUAUUAUUAAGAGUCAUGCAAUCCCAUAUUUCUAGACAAAAGUGUUAAGGCACAUAUAACUUUAAACUGGGUGGUUGGGUGGAUGGUACUUUCUGCAUCGUGUUCAGGGGGGUUUGGGAACAUUGCCAGUUCAUAAGCAUGAGUUUCCAUUUUGUUCAUGUGUGUUCAAAUAAGUGGCGAUCCGGCGCUAUAAUGUGUUUUGAGUGGUAUGAUGAGUGCUCGUGGCUUUUGGGUGACAGCUGUAAUGUUCUCUUGUGCACAUAGAUGCUUGCUCUACUCGCUCCUUUCCAGUCGAAUCACAAAGGAAUAUGCAAACACAUGUCCCCACUCAAGAUAUACAUCCACAGAUGUGCGGAUGCAAUCUUGGUUUAUUAAAAUAAAAAAUUACAAAAAGGCAGAUUCAAACCAACAACCUUUUUCAUCAAUGACAGCAAUACUACCACUACACCAACCAGCCAGCUCUUAGUAGUUGAGCUUAUUGGUGUAUAUUAAAACAAGCUAACAGUAUCCCACGACAGGUAGUUGCAGAUUUAGAGCUGAAUUUAUCACUUUAAUUGUGUGAAAUAUUUAUUUGAGCCCUUGAAUUUGUCAUCAGGAAUGACUAUUUAUCAAAACAGAACAUUUUCAGUAAUCUUUUACUGUGCAUAACCUAAUUAAUAUUUGUGAGUUUUGCCACUUCGCACCCCCGUUAGAGCAGCGAAAGCAUCAACAGAAAGUGCAUGUGUGAGAAUCUUGACAUGAGAGGGUUACCUUCUAGACACAACUGUGUUUGACUGUCACCUGAGAUGUCUCCUAGCAACCCAACUGAAAAACAAUGCUGAAACGCUAGUAUGUGCUACAGGUGUACGUUAAUAAAAAAUAAAAGUAUAAUAUACCAUGUUUUAUACACCUGUUUCUGCAGGCGUUUGUUAAACAAGUUUUAAUAUCAUGUAAUGUAGGAACUUUGAAUCAUUUAUUGAUAUUACUUAAAGUGAAUGUCACUUAUUUUGUAUAUCUCCCCAGGUGCUGACAUGUUUGUGUGACGUCACGCACCUGCAUCUCGGCAAAAUUGGAGUUGAAAAUUUCCGCACGAGUUACCCAGUUGGAAUUCCGGCUUCAAGUGGCGUUCCAAUGGCUUAUAGUGCCAUUCUGUUGCACUUUUCCUAGUACAAUGAUGGAAAAUCUGAGUUGAAUGGAAUGCAACAUUAGUGUUUGGAGCCAUUAUUUUUACAUUUUUAAACAUUUACUUUCAUUGUAUGGAAAAAGAUGCAAUGGAAGUGAAUAAUGACUCUAAUAUUCUAACUCCUGUGUUCCUUUUGUGCUGAUCUAUCCCUUCACCAAGGUUCACCAUGCUAAAUUUUGUUCUUGACAUUUGUAUUAUUAUUAUUACAAACUGGAGCCCACACAAGAAUUUUAACCUUCUUCUGCAAUCCGAAUAUAACCUUGAACAAAUCAAGAUGAGUUGUAUAUAUGCUUGACUUGAGAACUAAUAUUUAUUCGCCUACAGAUCUAUUGUGCUUAUCCUGCAGUUUUGGGCACAGCACCACUUCUAUUUUGAGGUAAAUGAAUUACAUCAGUCCUAACACUCAAUCUCAGUAUAUCACGCAUUUCAGAUUUGCAAACCUUGCAAACACCCACAUAUACUGAUAGUCUCAAAAGUUUGAAGCAGUAUUUAUCUUCAGGACUCCAACCAAGGCUGAAGUGAAAAGGCGGCAGCAGGAUACAGAUAUAAAAGAAGCCUCAGAAGAAGAACUAAGGAGUGGAAGCCAAAAAGAAAGAAACCUGUCAGUCUGGAGACUCUAGGGAGCAGUGUGUCAUCUGAAUCUGCUGCCAAUACUUGGGGGAAAAAAGUGCUUCAUCCUUUGACAGCUGUCUCAUAUCUGACUGACGGGCAGCCUCACACCAGAACAAGCAGUACCACAGAUACUGCAAAGAAAGAUGAUUUUACACUGAGCGGUAAAUUCCUAAUCUUCGAUGUGAUGACAUUUGAUUUUUGCCUUUGCUUUCUUUUUUACCUGCUUCUACCUUCUUCAAAAGGCUUGCAGAAAACAAAUGCUGCAUUUGAAACCUCACAAAUCUCUUUGUGGCUCAGUUUCAAAAUAGCAUGCUACAAAAGAUUCCCUUGUGACAAAAUAUUAGUAAAAAUCACAGUGCAUGCAUACGGCUGUAAAUAUUCUGAAAAUAACAUUUUCCAUGGCAAAAAGUUUGAGCAUCUGAAGAAACCUUAAAGAGAAUACAGCAAGAAUGAAUUUAGUUGCAUGAAAUUUUUAUUUGCAAGCAGUAACUAAUUCCAAUCUAGUAAGUCUAUGCAUUUGAGGUGACCUUCCCAACACUUUGUAAUUUUGUUCCCUUUGUACAGUUUGUGAUGAUGGCAUUGUGCUGGGAAAUUUGAGUGGAGCCCAUUAUCGAAUAAGGUCCGGUCUGCACCAAUUACUUGGCAGCAGAGCUCAGUGGUGAUUGGAGCCCCCUAAGAGAUUGAACCACAGUCUUUACAUAGUGAAAAGCUUGAUGUUAGAAUUACAGAGGCACUUAAUGACAUUGUAAAUGCUGUCAUCAAGCAAGCCGACUACCCCGAAAAUGUAUUAACCAUCUGUAAUUGGGUCAUUAAAUAAUGGUCAGUUUACAAAGCUCAUUUACAAAGACGUGACCUGGGAAACCCUCAAAAACAUUCAAUUAUUAAUAUUAUGACAACCAGUGCUGCAUUUAGAGGGAUGUGUGCUUUAGGGAGUUGCUGAAAAUGGCAUUUAAAUGGACAUGCCAGCCUCCCUUAAUAAGGUUAAUGGUUAGGUUAGACACAACAAAUGUGGCUGAACAUGACUCUAGUUGAAUCGCAAAGAAAUAUGCAAACAUGUGUCCUGACUCAAGAUAUACAUCCACAGAUGUGUGGAUGCAAUCUCUGUUUAUUAAAAUAAAAAGCUACAAAAGGGCAGAUAUAAACCCAUAACCCACACUUACAACGACAAUGCUACCAUUAGACCAACCAGUCUGUCUCUUUACAGCAGAGCCAAUUGAUGUAUUUUACCACUAGCUAACAAUAUCCCAUGACAAAUUUACAGCUAAAUUUAUCUUAUUAAUUAUGUGCAUUAUGACGGGGGCCUGGAUAGCUCAGUGGUAAAAUACGCUGGCUACCACCCCUGGAGUUCACUAGUUCGCUAGUUCGAAUCCAGGGUGUGCUGAGUGACUCCAGCCAGGUCUCCUAAGCAACCAAAUUGGCCCAGUUGCUAGGGAGGGUAGAGUCACAUGGGGUAACCUCCUCAUGGUCGCUAUAAUGUGGUUUGUUCUCGGUGGGGCGCAUGGUGAAUUGAGCGUGGUUGCCGCGGUGGAUGGCGUGAAGCCUCCACAUGCACUAUGUCUCCGUGGCAACGCGCUCAACAAGCCACGUGAUAAGAUGCGUGGGUUGACUGUCUCAGACAUGGAGGCAACUGGGAUUCGUCCUCCACCACCCAGACUGAGGUGAAUCACUAUGCGACCACAAGGACUUAGAGCGCAUUGGGAAUUGGGCAUUCCAAAUUGGGAGAAAAAGGGGAAGAAUCCCCAAAAAAAAAAAAAAUUAUGUGCAUUAUUAAUUUGAGUGCUUGAAUUUGUCAGCAAGAAUGAGUGUUUAUCGAAACAGACCAUUUAAAAGAAUUUUUUACUGUGCAAAAUGUGUGAGUUUCCCCACUUCGCAUCCCCGUGAGAGCGGCAAAAGCAUAAACGGAACACGCAUGUUCCCUAGUCCAAGUGCCUGCCACAUGCAACCUCUGUCAAUGCGACUUUGCAUCUGUGAUGUGACUUAUAUAUAUUUAUUUAUUUUUCUAUUUUUUUAUUUUUUCUGAAAAAACAAUUCGAUUUUGACCAGGUGUGACUUAUAUUCAGGUGCCACUUUAUUUCCAGAAAAUACAGAAAACCCAAAACUCUGCUUUCGUGUCAGUCAGCUUUCUCACUACAAACAUUUUAUUGGUGUCCUUAAAUUUAGAUAUUAUAAUUUAACAUCCAUUCGGAUGUAGUUACUUAAGUUUUGGAAAACAGUUGUGUCUAGAUGGUUCAUUUCACCAAUGAUGCAUCGUACUGUGGUGGAUAAGCAGUGAGUUUCAUCGUUAUAUGGAGACCUCACCCCUGUUUGUUUGAGAAUCCUGACCAGGGGUGCAUUUCCCAUACAACGACGUAACUCACUGCUUAACCACCAUAGUGCGAUGCAUCGUUGGAGAAAUUAACAAGCUAGUCACGACUGUUUCCCGAAACCCUAGUAACUACAGUGUGUUGCACAUCCAUCGUUCGAACCAUGUUGGUUCAACAACAUUCAGCUGUCAUUAAUCACGUUAUGCAGGGGGUGGAGUAAUAACUUCAGUGAAUAUUAAAUUAUAAAAGCUCAUUUACACGUACAACAGAAAACCGUUUAAUGUGAGAAAGCUGCUGAUGACAGGAAAGCUGCAUGCACUUUGUAAUGCAACAAUUUCAUACGCUGCAAUAGUGGGGUUUUCCUUGAGCACAUACGCACAUGCGCACACUUCCAAAACAUAUAAACGGCACUUAUGCGUUAACAAAUACAUAAAACCCGUGUUCUCCAACAGAAACUGUGUGUGAUAAAGCGCUUUCUAUUAACAGCCUUUAAUCUCUUAAACAGCCGCCUUCGCUUGUACGUAAUGUUUCCGAACCCCGCUUUCUGCAAAACCCCAGAAUAAGUAAUUUUCUUACAUUUGAAAACAGUCAUUAUUUUUGCAAUUCUGUUUGAUGAUGCUAGUUAUGCAGGUUAAAAACUACACCCUUCACCUUUAAUGUCACUAACAAAUGGAGGUAAGAAUAAAAUAAAUGGGGUUAAGUGUUCAAAGUUUAACAGUUCAAAAGGGGUUGGUUUUUAAAGCAGUUAAAAAAAAAAAAAAGUACAAUCAAAGGAGCCACAAACUGUUAGUCUGUGCAAUUCUACAUUUCCCCCCCUUUUAGCUAAUCUUGUCAUCAUUUUUCUCAAACUGUCUUGCUCUAUUCAGUGUGCAGUAUGUGUGGUGUAUGCCUCCAGAUAUUUUGCCUCCCCAGGGAAAUCCGGCUUCAACAACAAACAUGAGACUUCCUCCCCGUUCCAGCUGAAAUCCUUGCAAGUUAAACCUCAAACGGCUCAGCGCUAAGCACGCGUGCAGCCACACAUGCAGUUUUCCAAGGUCAGCUCCUUCCUUCCGCUCGACUUCAACGACUCACGACUGGCAGAAUUGAAAAGCUUUGUCAGGCUGAUUAAACUUGGAAGGCGUUAUGUAAAAAGCGCCUGAUUCAGAUUUGACAGACAGUUAAGAGUUUCUCCCUUUCUUCCCCCUUUCUUGCUCCACACUCUUAUUUAACAAGAUCAGAUGUUAUGUCACAGCAAGGUGCAAUUUUCAUUAACCUCCAGCUGUGCUAUGAUUUGAAUGUGCCAGCCCUGCAAUUAGUUGAUUGUGAUUGAUUGAUUGAAGUCAGCUGCUUUUUUAUCCCCCCUUCAUUGAGGGCUCAGGUAAUUCAUUCAGACCUCCUCCCCCUUAAGGCUUGUGCAUUAUUCUCUGACAAGCUCGGCUUGCCGGAACACUCUUAGGCAGAUUUGAGGCCACGGCAUGGGGCAAAUGCAAACGCUCUCAUCACAGCAUGGCCGCGACAUACUAACCAGUACUGAAAGGGGAACAGGUGAAACUGGACAAAAUGCUGUUCACAGUUUGUCACUGUAUUCCACUUUCAUCUAGAAAUUAAGGUGUGAUACAAUUUUAAGAUACUGAUACAAUGUGUUUUAUCACAUUGAGCCACUUCAAUCAUUACAAGUGCAUGAUUGAAACUUACUGUCAAUAAUCAAAUUAAUUUUUAUAUUUAAAGGAAUAGUUCACCCAAAUUAAAAUUAUCAUACGGUAGCUUUGUGCAACCAACAGAACGAUUUAGUCAUUAAUUAAAAAUUCUGCCCUGAGUAAAAAGGUGAGUAAACCAUGACAGAUUUUUUUUAUUUUUAUUUUUGGGUGAACUAUUUCUUUAAUUUUUAUAUUAAUGUUAUUUUUUUGUGUAUUGAUGGACUAAAGGUGAAUGGUGUGUAAUAAUAUAUGAAUUACUGUGAUAUUUUUCUGUGAUAUGCAAAUGUGAAAAUUACUGGCAUAACAUUUUGUUGUUGUAAAAUAAAUGUCUAGCCAGGUAAAAGGGAAAAAAAAAAAAAAUAUAUAUAUAUAUAUUUUUUUUUUU
Myxocyprinus asiaticus (Chinese sucker) is the source of this 11407-nucleotide long non-coding RNA. RefSeq lists it as uncharacterized. Lineage: Eukaryota; Metazoa; Chordata; Actinopteri; Cypriniformes; Catostomidae. The record is from RefSeq and is a predicted model, not a curated record. The transcript is spliced from 3 exons.